RNAcentral lists this long non-coding RNA (202 nucleotides) under Chrysolophus pictus (golden pheasant). RNAcentral's name for it is "lncRNA (ENSCPIG00010010083.1)". The record is from RNAcentral. Lineage: Eukaryota; Metazoa; Chordata; Aves; Galliformes; Phasianidae.
AGCGGCAUCAAAGUGGAAGGAGGAGGAACGCCAGCCCUGAAGGAUGUCGAACUGGCUUAGGUCUUUGAAAACUACCCCACUGUCAAGCUCCCUCUGAGUUGCUUCCAGUCCUCAGGAGUGAAGGUAGAGUUAAGGGGUGUGCCUGGUGUAUCCGUGAAUGGGAGGUGAAAAGGAAAUGGAGUUGGUGGAAGAAAUGAGGAAC